CCUACGGGAGGCAGCAGUGAGGAAUAUUGGUCAAUGGACGAGAGUCUGAACCAGCCAAGUAGCGUGAAGGAUGACUGCCCUAUGGGUUGUAAACUUCUUUUAUAUGGGAAUAAAAUGUUCCACGUGUGGGAUUUUGUAUGUACCAUAUGAAUAAGGAUUGGCUAACUCCGUGCCAGCAGCCGCGGUAAUACGGAGGAUCCGAGCGUUUUCCGGAUUUAUUGGGUUUAAAGGGAGCGUAGGUGGAUUGUUAAGUCAGUUGUGAAAGUUUGCGGCUCAACCGUAAAAUUGCAGUUGAAACUGGCAGUCUUGAGUACAGUAGAGGUAGGCGGAAUUCGUGGUGUAGCGGUGAAAUGCUUAGAUAUCACGAAGAACUCCGAUUGCGAAGGCAGUUCACUGGACUGCAACUGACACUGAGGCUCGAAAGUGUGGGUAUCAAACAGGAUUAGAUACCCGUGUAGUC
This 460-nucleotide ribosomal RNA is filed under the name uncultured bacterium. RNAcentral's name for it is "partial 16S ribosomal RNA". It matches the Rfam family "Bacterial small subunit ribosomal RNA", at positions 338 to 795 of the family's 1533-position model. The record is from RNAcentral.